RNAcentral lists this ribosomal RNA (252 nucleotides) under uncultured prokaryote. RNAcentral describes it as "partial 16S ribosomal RNA". It matches the Rfam family "Bacterial small subunit ribosomal RNA", at positions 524 to 774 of the family's 1533-position model. The record is from RNAcentral.
UACGGGGGGAGCAAGCGUUGUUCGGAUUUACUGGGCGUAAAGGGCGCGUAGGCGGCUUUGACAAGUCAGUUGUGAAAUCUCCGGGCUUAACUCGGAACGGUCAACUGAUACUGUCGAGCUAGAGUGCAGAAGGGGCAACUGGAAUUCUCGGUGUAGCGGUGAAAUGCGUAGAUAUCGAGAGGAACACCUGCGGCGAAGGCGGGUUGCUGGGCUGACACUGACGCUGAGGCGCGAAAGCUAGGGGAGCGAACG